AGGGAUCACCCGUUAGUGCAGGACUGAUCUCAGGAGUCACCCAUUAGAUUAGGGAUAACUCCAUAGCAGUUGUCUUUACCCGUGGAACAGUACUGACACCCUUCCAGCUGGGGCUACAGGUUGGAACCUACUAGUUCAAAUUUGGGGAAUGUCGGUUAGAUAACUACUUCCCACAGUCUCAGUUUUAGAUUCUGUCUCUGUGUUAGAAC
This 209-nucleotide long non-coding RNA is filed under the name Capsicum annuum. RNAcentral's name for it is "long non-coding RNA (CANN_LNC019649)". The record is from RNAcentral. Lineage: Eukaryota; Viridiplantae; Streptophyta; Magnoliopsida; Solanales; Solanaceae.